RNAcentral lists this ribosomal RNA (427 nucleotides) under uncultured bacterium. RNAcentral's name for it is "partial 16S ribosomal RNA". It matches the Rfam family "Bacterial small subunit ribosomal RNA", at positions 355 to 774 of the family's 1533-position model. The record is from RNAcentral. RNAcentral also lists the same sequence under 2 other names.
UGGGGAAUAUUGCACAAUGGGCGCAAGCCUGAUGCAGCCAUGCCGCGUGUGUGAAGAAGGCCUUAGGGUUGUAAAGCACUUUCAGCGAGGAGGAAGGGUUCAGUGUUAAUAGCACUGUGCAUUGACGUUACUCGCAGAAGAAGCACCGGCUAACUCCGUGCCAGCAGCCGCGGUAAUACGGAGGGUGCAAGCGUUAAUCGGAAUUACUGGGCGUAAAGCGCACGCAGGCGGUUUGUUAAGUCAGAUGUGAAAUCCCCGAGCUUAACUUGGGAACUGCAUUUGAAACUGGCAAGCUAGAGUCUUGUAGAGGGGGGUAGAAUUCCAGGUGUAGCGGUGAAAUGCGUAGAGAUCUGGAGGAAUACCGGUGGCGAAGGCGGCCCCCUGGACAAAGACUGACGCUCAGGUGCGAAAGCGUGGGGAGCAAACA